CCUACGGGAGGCAGCAGUGAGGAAUAUUGGUCAAUGGGCGGAAGCCUGAACCAGCCAAGUCGCGUGAGGGAAUAAGGCCCUACGGGUCGUAAACCUCUUUUGCCGGGGAGCAAGGGCGGGGACGUGUCCCGUCCCGGAGAGUACCCGGAGAAAAAGCAUCGGCUAACUCCGUGCCAGCAGCCGCGGUAAUACGGAGGAUGCGAGCGUUAUCCGGAUUUAUUGGGUUUAAAGGGUGCGUAGGCGGGCUUCUAAGUCAGCGGUAAAAAUUCGGGGCUCAACCCCGUCCGGCCGUUGAAACUGGGGGCCUUGAGUGGGCGAGAAGAAGGCGGAAUGCGUGGUGUAGCGGUGAAAUGCAUAGAUAUCACGCAGAACCCCGAUUGCGAAGGCAGCCUUCCGGCGCCCUACUGACGCUGAGGCACGAAAGUGCGGGGAUCGAACAGGAUUAGAUACCCCUGUAGUC
Molecule: ribosomal RNA, 460 nt
Filed under: uncultured bacterium
Lineage: Bacteria
Description: partial 16S ribosomal RNA
Rfam family: Bacterial small subunit ribosomal RNA
Source: RNAcentral